RNAcentral lists this unclassified non-coding RNA (179 nucleotides) under uncultured Inocybaceae. RNAcentral describes it as "sequence contains ITS2". Lineage: Eukaryota; Fungi; Basidiomycota; Agaricomycetes; Agaricales. The record is from RNAcentral.
AUCUCUCAACCAUGCCGACUCGUUUGUCGGCGUGGCUUGGAUUUGGGGGUUUAUAUGCAGGCCCUUGCUUGUGGUCUGCUCCCCUGAAAUGCAUGAGUGGUUGGAACCCCUCUGUUAGGUGUGAUAAUUAUCUGCAUCUGAUGGAAAGGUCGUGGCUGCUACGUCGUUGGAGUUGAUAA